UACGUAGGGUGCAAGCGUUAAUCGGAAUUACUGGGCGUAAAGCGUGCGCAGGCGGUUUUGUAAGUCUGUCGUGAAAUCCCCGGGCUCAACCUGGGAAUGGCGAUGGAGACUGCAAGGCUAGAGUUUGGCAGAGGGGGGUAGAAUUCCACGUGUAGCAGUGAAAUGCGUAGAUAUGUGGAGGAACACCGAUGGCGAAAGGCAGCCCCCUGGGUCAAAACUGACGCUCAUGCACGAAAGCGUGGGGAGCAAACAGG
RNAcentral lists this ribosomal RNA (254 nucleotides) under uncultured bacterium. RNAcentral's name for it is "partial 16S ribosomal RNA". It matches the Rfam family "Bacterial small subunit ribosomal RNA", at positions 524 to 776 of the family's 1533-position model. The record is from RNAcentral.